AUCACACAUGACGCAUGCAGCAUGAUGGCCCGCCCCCAGGCGCCGCCCGCUCGCUUGCCCGACGCCCGCCUCGGCGCCUCCUCCCACACCACAAUCCACAUGUAACCACUCUCUCUCUCUCUCUCUCUCUCUCUCUCUCUCUCUCUCUCUCUCUCUCUCAGUAAUCCACACUUCCACUCCCACUACGUAACCACACUCUUUCUCUCUCUCUCUCUUUCUCUCUCUCUUAGUUCCACACUUCCACUCCCUCUCCAAGGCUCAGAGCUCUCAAAUUUUAAUCUCUCUCUAGCUCGCCGGACCGCCGGGCGCC
RNAcentral lists this long non-coding RNA (310 nucleotides) under Ananas comosus (pineapple). RNAcentral describes it as "long non-coding RNA (ACOM_LNC021462)". Lineage: Eukaryota; Viridiplantae; Streptophyta; Magnoliopsida; Poales; Bromeliaceae. The record is from RNAcentral.